AUACGUAGGGGACGAGCGUUGUCCGGAAUUACUGGGCGUAAAGGGCGCGCAGGCGGAUAUUUAAGUCAGCUGUAAAAGGCAUGAGCUCAACUCAUGUAUGCGGUUGAAACUGGGUAUCUAGAGUGCUGGAGAGGUAGGCGGAAUUUCCGGUGUAGCGGUGAAAUGCGUAGAUAUCGGGAAGAACACCAGUGGCGAAGGCGGCUUACUGGCCAGCAACUGACGCUGAGGCGCGAAAGCCAGGGGAGCGAACGGGAUUAGAUACCCCGGUAGUCCUGGCCGUAAACGAUGAAUGCUAGGUGUGGGUGUCGAGAGGCAUCCGUGCCGGAGUUAACGCGAUAAGCAUUCCGCCUGGGGAGUACGAUCGCAAGAUUGAAACUCAAAGGAAUUGGCGGGG
Molecule: ribosomal RNA, 394 nt
Filed under: uncultured bacterium
Lineage: Bacteria
Description: partial 16S ribosomal RNA
Rfam family: Bacterial small subunit ribosomal RNA
Source: RNAcentral